GACGAACGCUGGCGGCGUGCUUAACACAUGCAAGUCGAACGGAAAGGCCCUGCUUUUGUGGGGUGCUCGAGUGGCGAACGGGUGAGUAACACGUGAGUAACCUGCCCUUGACUUUGGGAUAACUUCAGGAAACUGGGGCUAAUACCGGAUAGGAGCUCCUGCUGCAUGGGGGGGGAUGGAAAGUUUCGGCGGUUGGGGAUGGACUCGCGGCUUAUGAGCUUGUUGGUGGGGUAGUGGCUUACCAAGGCGUUGACGGGUAGCCGACCUGUGAGGGUGACCGGCCACACUGGAGCUGAGACACGGUCAAGGGUCCUACGGGAGGCAGCAGUCGCGAAUCGGCCGCAAUGGGGGAAAGCCUGACGGAGCGGCGCCGCGUGAGUGAUGAAGGCCCUCGGAGCGUAAAACUCUGUUAUGAGGGAAAAACAAAUGUGGAAGUAACUAUGCAGGGCGUGACGGUACUUAAUAAGAAAGCCCCGGCUAACUACGUG
RNAcentral lists this ribosomal RNA (488 nucleotides) under uncultured bacterium. RNAcentral describes it as "partial 16S ribosomal RNA". It matches the Rfam family "Bacterial small subunit ribosomal RNA", at positions 28 to 507 of the family's 1533-position model. The record is from RNAcentral.